RNAcentral lists this ribosomal RNA (240 nucleotides) under uncultured bacterium. RNAcentral describes it as "partial 16S ribosomal RNA". It matches the Rfam family "Bacterial small subunit ribosomal RNA", at positions 122 to 353 of the family's 1533-position model. The record is from RNAcentral.
UAACCUACCCAUCAGAGGGGGAUAACACUUGGAAACAGGUGCUAAUACCGCAUAACAGUUUAUGCCGCAUGGCAUAAGAGUGAAAGGCGCUUUCGGGUGUCGCUGAUGGAUGGACCCGCGGUGCAUUAGCUAGUUGGUGAGGUAACGGCUCACCAAGGCCACGAUGCAUAGCUGACCUGAGAGGGUGAUCGGCCACACUGGGACUGAGACACGGCCCAGACUCCUACGGGAGGCAGCAUG